AGAACUCGAGUUUGUAAACGAUCAAUAAAAUCGACAGGCCCGUUGUCGUCAUCGGAAUGUUAAACUUAGACUACUUUUAACGCCUGGAUAUAUUGAAAACUCAUUCGGACGUUAUAAUUGCUCGAGUUACCGAAUAGUUUGUAUACUACGUUAAUGUUAUCAAUAACUAUCGUCGAUCAUGACACGUCAAGUGCAUACGCGUUUGUGUAUUGUCGUGAGUAAACAAAAAAUAAAAUAAUAAAUUUCGUUUUGAUUUGAGAGAUGCCAUUGGAGGCACUGAAGCUUACACAACAUUUUGUAGAAAAAGUUAUAUUAUUA
Cinara cedri is the source of this 318-nucleotide non-coding RNA. Lineage: Eukaryota; Metazoa; Arthropoda; Insecta; Hemiptera; Aphididae. The record is from the annotation of a GenBank genome assembly.